UGUCACGUGUGUGGCAAGAUGCUGAGCUC
This 29-nucleotide non-coding RNA is filed under the name Homo sapiens (human). The record is from RNAcentral. Lineage: Eukaryota; Metazoa; Chordata; Mammalia; Primates; Hominidae.